Trichobilharzia regenti is the source of this 46-nucleotide non-coding RNA. NCBI's taxonomy places the organism in Eukaryota, Metazoa, Platyhelminthes, Trematoda, Strigeidida, Schistosomatidae. The record is from Rfam.
AUCCAGGAUGACGAGUCCCAAAUAGAACGAAAUGUGCAUCCUGGAU